AUUGAACGCUGGCGGCAUGCCUUACACAUGCAAGUCGAACGGCAGCACGGACUUCGGUCUGGUGGCGAGUGGCGAACGGGUGAGUAAUGUAUCGGAACGUACCUUUCAGUGGGGGAUAACGUAGCGAAAGUUACGCUAAUACCGCAUAUUCUGUGAGCAGGAAAGCAGGGGAUCGAAAGACCUUGCGCUGAUUGAGCGGCCGAUAUCAGAUUAGCUAGUUGGUGGGGUAAAGGCCUACCAAGGCGACGAUCUGUAGCGGGUCUGAGAGGAUGAUCCGCCACACUGGAACUGAGACACGGUCCAGACUCCUACGGGAGGCAGCAGUGGGGAAUUUUGGACAAUGGGGGCAACCCUGAUCCAGCCAUGCCGCGUGAGUGAAGAAGGCCUUCGGGUUGUAAAGCUCUUUCGGCCGGGAAGAAAUCGCAUGGGCUAAUACCCUGUGUGGAUGACGGUACCGGAAUAAGAAGCACCGGCUAACUACGUG
RNAcentral lists this ribosomal RNA (484 nucleotides) under uncultured bacterium. RNAcentral's name for it is "partial 16S ribosomal RNA". It matches the Rfam family "Bacterial small subunit ribosomal RNA", at positions 30 to 507 of the family's 1533-position model. The record is from RNAcentral.